This 461-nucleotide long non-coding RNA is filed under the name Nicotiana benthamiana. Its description in RNAcentral is "long non-coding RNA (NBEN_LNC034015)". The record is from RNAcentral. Lineage: Eukaryota; Viridiplantae; Streptophyta; Magnoliopsida; Solanales; Solanaceae.
GUUUAUGUCGUAACUUCUGUGCCGUUGCGAGUUUUCUACUUACUACUUGCGUUGGUGAUAUUGAUUGUUUCCUUUUAUCAUGACUGCGGGCUUCCAUUUGCACCCUGAGAAUGAUGGUCUUUCCCAGGAAUAUGUUUCAUCACUCAAGUUGCUGCAUUUUUAUCAUGCUAAUGUUUCUAUCUAAGCCAAUAUUAUAAGAGUCGCAUUGACAAGAGCACUCACAACUAUGAUAUGUAUGAGACAUUACAACUGCGAUGUGUGUAGAUUGAGACUUUACAGAUGUGAUAUAUGUAGAAUUUAGUCCAAUUAUUGCUAGCUUUUUUUCCUGUAAAUGUCACGUGUGUGUUGAGACUACUGGUUGCACGAGCUUAGUCCAAUUGUUAGCAUUUCAUGGUUAGGCGGACCUAUAGGCAUAUAACUAGACCAUCACAACUACGGCUACGGUUCCCGUGACGUAAUUG